This 403-nucleotide RNase P RNA is filed under the name Streptomyces noursei. Its description in RNAcentral is "RNase P RNA component class A". It matches the Rfam family "Bacterial RNase P class A". Rfam says of the family: Ribonuclease P (RNase P) is a ubiquitous endoribonuclease, found in archaea, bacteria and eukarya as well as chloroplasts and mitochondria. The record is from RNAcentral. Lineage: Bacteria; Bacillati; Actinomycetota; Actinomycetes; Kitasatosporales; Streptomycetaceae. RNAcentral also lists the same sequence under 2 other names.
CGAGCCGGCCGGGCGGUCGCGUGGGGAUCAGCAAGAUCCUCCCGAGGAACGUCCGGGCUCCACAGGGCAGGGUGGUGGGUAACGCCCACCCGGGGUGACCCGCGGGACAGUGCCACAGAAAGCAAACCGCCCGGGCCGCACGGCCCGGGUAAGGGUGAAACGGUGGUGUAAGAGACCACCAGUGCCCAGGGUGACCUGGGCAGCUAGGUAAACCCCACCCGGAGCAAGGUCAAGAGGGGCCAUCGGCUGAUGGCCCUGCGCGGACGAUCGAGGGCUGCCCGCCCGAGUCCGCGGGUAGACCGCACGAGGCUGCCGGCAACGGCAGCCCUAGAUGGAUGGCCGCCUCCCGGCCGACCGCAAGGUCGCCCGGAGACAGAACCCGGCGUACAGGCCGACUCGUCCG